Molecule: transfer RNA, 72 nt
Filed under: Elliptochloris bilobata
Lineage: Eukaryota; Viridiplantae; Chlorophyta; Trebouxiophyceae
Description: tRNA-Gln
Rfam family: tRNA
About the family: Transfer RNA (tRNA) molecules are approximately 80 nucleotides in length. Their secondary structure includes four short double-helical elements and three loops (D, anti-codon, and T loops).
Source: RNAcentral
UGAGGCGUCGCCAAGUGGUAAGGCAGCGGGUUUUGAUCCCGCCAUUCAGAGGUUCGAAUCCUUUCGCCUCAG